AUGGCGUGGGGAGGCGACCUUACCUUCAGCUCCCGGGCUGCUUUUCGUGUUCUGUCGCCACACGGCGUGCUCGACCAGGACUCCAUCGACAUCUGGGGCUCCAGGCUCCCUAGCAAAAUCAAGUUUUUCGUGAGGCUACUGGUCGGCAAUCGGCUUAGCACUCGGGCUAACCUGUACGCCAAAAACUGCGCCUCUUCUCCAACAUGUGCCUCCUGCCAGGCGGAGGAAACGACGGACCACCUCUUUGCUGCAUGUCCUCGUGUGGCUCCGGUCUGGGCUACGGCUUGGCCUGGGCACCUUCAACUCCAUUGGUGA
This 315-nucleotide ribosomal RNA is filed under the name Triticum aestivum (bread wheat). RNAcentral's name for it is "partial small subunit ribosomal RNA". The record is from RNAcentral. Lineage: Eukaryota; Viridiplantae; Streptophyta; Magnoliopsida; Poales; Poaceae.